Non-coding RNA from Zonotrichia albicollis (white-throated sparrow), 353 nucleotides. The record is from RefSeq and is a predicted model, not a curated record. Lineage: Eukaryota; Metazoa; Chordata; Aves; Passeriformes; Passerellidae.
GUUCCAUAAGAUCAAAAAGAGCUCCAGAAACACCAAAAGAGCUCCAAAAAGAGCUCCAAAAAGAGCCUUCAAAAGGACAAAAAGACCUCUAGAAGGUCAUAAAGAGCUCCAAAAACUCAGAGUUCCAUAAGAUCAAAAGGAGCUCCAGAAACACCAAAAGAGCUCCAAAAGUAGCUCCAAAAAGACCUCUAGAAGGUCACAAAGAUCUCCAGAAAAGACAAAAGGAGCUCCAGAAAGGUCAAAAUAUCUCCAAAAUAUCAAAAAGAGCUCCAGAAACACCAAAAGAGCUCCAAAAGGAGCCUCCAAAAGGACAAAAAGACCUCUAGAAGGUCAUAAAGAGCUCCAAAAAGACC